GAUGAACGCUAGCGACAGGCUUAACACAUGCAAGUCGAGGGGCAGCAUAGAAGUAGCAAUACUUUGGUGGCGACCGGCACACGGGUGAGUAACGCGUAUGCAACCUACCUAUCAGAGGGGAAUAACCCGGCGAAAGUCGGACUAAUACCGCAUAAAACAGGGGCACCGCACGGUGAUAUUUGUUAAAGAAAUUCGCUGAUAGAUGGGCAUGCGUUCCAUUAGGUAGUUGGUGAGGUAACGGCUCACCAAGCCGGCGAUGGAUAGGGGAACUGAGAGGUUGGUCCCCCACACUGGUACUGAGACACGGACCAGACUCCUACGGGAGGCAGCAGUGAGGAAUAUUGGUCAAUGGGCGGGAGCCUGAACCAGCCAAGUCGCGUGAAGGAAGAAGGAUCUAUGGUUCGUAAACUUCUUUUGCAGGGGAACAAAGUGCAGGACGUGUCCUGUUUUGUAUGUACCCUGAGAAUAAGGAUCGGCUAACUCCGUGCCAGCCGCCGCCGUAA
RNAcentral lists this ribosomal RNA (503 nucleotides) under uncultured bacterium. RNAcentral describes it as "partial 16S ribosomal RNA". It matches the Rfam family "Bacterial small subunit ribosomal RNA", at positions 28 to 523 of the family's 1533-position model. The record is from RNAcentral.